This is a non-coding RNA of Stegodyphus mimosarum, 73 nucleotides long. NCBI's taxonomy places the organism in Eukaryota, Metazoa, Arthropoda, Arachnida, Araneae, Eresidae. The record is from Rfam.
GCCUUCGUGGUGUAAUGGUCAGCACACUGAGCCGGUAUUUCAGAGGUCCGCGGUUCGAUUCCCGGCGAAGGCU